Molecule: small nucleolar RNA, 95 nt
Organism: Mya arenaria
Lineage: Eukaryota; Metazoa; Mollusca; Bivalvia; Myida; Myidae
Product: small nucleolar RNA U13
Exons: 1
Source: RefSeq, a predicted model, not a curated record
AUCCAUUGGUUCAAAGUAUGAUGAAUGGUAUUUCUGGCGCCUGCUAGAGACGUGCCUGCCUCCCUGUUACGAUCAGGGCACGACACCUUCUGACU